GAAAGGCCCUUCGGGGUGCUCGAGUGGCGAACGGGUGAGUAACACGUGGGUGAUCUGCCCUGCACUUUGGGAUAAGCCUGGGAAACUGGGUCUAAUACCGAAUAGGACUGCGCUCUUCAUGGGGUGUGGUGGAAAGCUUUUGCGGUGUGGGAUGGGCCCGCGGCCUAUCAGCUUGUUGGUGGGGUAAUGGCCUACCAAGGCGACGACGGGUAGCCGGCCUGAGAGGGUGACCGGCCACACUGGGACUGAGAUACGGCCCAGACUCCUACGGGAGGCAGCAGUGGGGAAUAUUGCACAAUGGGCGCAAGCCUGAUGCAGCGACGCCGCGUGAGGGAUGACGGCCUUCGGGUUGUAAACCUCUUUCAGCACAGACGAAGCGCGAGUGACGGUAUGUGCAGAAGAAGGACCGGCCAACUACGUGCCAGCAGCCGCGGUAAUACGUAGGGUCCGAGCGUUGUCCGGAAUUACUGGGCGUAAAGAGCUCGUAGGUGGUUUGUCGCGUUGUUCGUGAAA
Molecule: ribosomal RNA, 513 nt
Filed under: Mycolicibacterium canariasense
Lineage: Bacteria; Bacillati; Actinomycetota; Actinomycetes; Mycobacteriales; Mycobacteriaceae
Description: bacterial SSU rRNA
Rfam family: Bacterial small subunit ribosomal RNA
Source: RNAcentral